Molecule: transfer RNA, 68 nt
Filed under: Neoseiulus californicus
Lineage: Eukaryota; Metazoa; Arthropoda; Arachnida; Mesostigmata; Phytoseiidae
Description: tRNA-Lys
Rfam family: tRNA
About the family: Transfer RNA (tRNA) molecules are approximately 80 nucleotides in length. Their secondary structure includes four short double-helical elements and three loops (D, anti-codon, and T loops). Further hydrogen bonds mediate the characteristic L-shaped molecular structure. tRNAs have two regions of fundamental functional importance: the anti-codon, which is responsible for specific mRNA codon recognition, and the 3' end, to which the tRNAs corresponding amino acid is attached (by aminoacyl-tRNA synthetases). tRNAs cope with the degeneracy of the genetic code in two manners: having more than one tRNA (with a specific anti-codon) for a particular amino acid; and 'wobble' base-pairing, i.e. permitting non-standard base-pairing at the 3rd anti-codon position.
Source: RNAcentral
CAUUAAAUAGCUUAAAUUCCAAAGCAAAAGCCUCUUAAGCUAUUAGAUACAAAAAAUCGUUUUAAUGA